Non-coding RNA from Nippostrongylus brasiliensis, 72 nucleotides. NCBI's taxonomy places the organism in Eukaryota, Metazoa, Nematoda, Chromadorea, Rhabditida, Heligmosomidae. The record is from Rfam.
GUCUCAGUAGCAUAGUGGUUAGUGCACAGACCCCUAUAGCUUGAGACGUGGGUUCGAAUCCCGCCUGAGGUG